Molecule: ribosomal RNA, 1471 nt
Filed under: uncultured Bordetella sp.
Lineage: Bacteria; Pseudomonadati; Pseudomonadota; Betaproteobacteria; Burkholderiales; Alcaligenaceae
Description: partial 16S-23S ribosomal RNA intergenic spacer
Rfam family: Bacterial small subunit ribosomal RNA
Source: RNAcentral
GGUUCGAUUAUGGCGCAGACGAACGCUGGCGGGAUGUCAUUUACGCCACGGAAGUCGAACGGCAGCCUGGACUUCGGUCUGGUGGCGAGUGGCGAACGGGUGAGUAAUGUAUCGGAACGUGCCUAGUAGCGGGGGAUGGCGCAGCGUAAUACCGCAUACGCCCUUCGAAGGAGAAAGCAAGGGGACCUUCCGGGCCUCGCACUAUUAAGUAGCCGAUAUCGGAUUAGCUAGUUGGUGGGAGUAACGGCUCACCAAGGCGACGAUCCGUAGCUGGUUUGAGAGGACGACCAGCCACACUGGACUGAGACACGGCCCAGACUCCUACGAGGGAGGCAGCAGUGGGGAAUUUUUGGACAAUGGGAAACCUGAUCCAGCCAUCCCGCGUGUGCGAUGACCUUCAGGUUGUAAAGCACUUUUUGGCAGGAAAGAAACGGCACGGGAUAAUACCCCGUGCCCAGCUGACGAAACACCUGCAGAAUAAGCACCAGCCUUUAACUACGUGCCAGCAGCCGCGAUAAUAACGUAGGAGUGCAAGCGUUAAUCGGAAUUACUGGGCGUAAAGCGUGCGCAGGCGGUUCGGAAAGAAAGAUGUGAAAUCCAGAGCUUAACUUUGGAACUGCAUUUUUAACUACCGAGCUAGAGUGUGUCAGAGGGAGGUGGAAUUCCACGUGUAGCAGUGAAAUGCGUAGAUAUGCGGAGGAACACCGAUGGCGAGCAGCCUCCUGGGAUAACACUGACGCUCAUGCGAAAGCGUGGGAGGCAAACGAGUUAGAUACCCUGGUAGUCCACGCCUAAACGAUGUCAACUAGCUGUUGAGGCCUUCGGGCCUUGGUAGCGCAACUAACGCGUGAAGUUGACCUGCCUAAGGAGUACGGUCGCAAGAUUAAACUCAAGGAAUUGACGAGGACCCGCACAAGCGGUGGAUGAUGUGGAUUAAUUCGAUGCACAACGCGAAAAACCUUACCUACCCUUGACAUGUCUGGAAUCCGAAGAGAUUUGGGAGUGCUCGCAAGAGAACCGGAACACAGGUGCUGCAUGGCUGUCGUCCGGCUCGUGUCGUGAGAUGUUGGGUUAGUCCGCAACGAGCGCAACCCUUGUCAUUGAAUUUGCUACGAAAGGGCUUCAGCUGAGACUUUGCGGUGAUGGCGGAGGAAGGUGGGGAUGACGUCAAGUCCUCAUGGCCCUUAUGGGUAGGGCUUCACACGUCAUACAAUGGUCAGGACAGAGGUCGCCAACCCGCGAGGAGCCAAUCCCGAAGCCCGAUCGUAGUCAGGAUCGCAGUCUGCAACUCGACUGCGUGAAGUCGGAAUCGCUAGUAAUCGCGGAUCAGCAUACGGUGAAUACGUUCCCGGGUCUUGUACACACCGCCCGUCACAUGGAAUUGGGUUUACCAGAAGUAGUUAGCCUUCUUCGUAAGGAGGGCGAUUACCACGGUAGGAUUCAUAGCUGGGGUGAAGUCGUAACAAGGUAG